AAAAUAUUUGUACCAUAUCAUCUUCACAAGAAUUUUUUCCAUGCGUUACAAAAUAAAACUUAAAUAUUAGAUUCUGUUUUUCAUUUCAAAUAUCAGUCUUCAGCUCUUUCAACAUCCAAAUGCAUGUAAUAUAUGAGCUGUGAGAAGUCUACAACACUACAACUAUUCAUAUUUCUCACAAUAACAACUCUUUGUAAAUUUUGGUAAUAUU
Molecule: small RNA, 211 nt
Filed under: Arabidopsis thaliana (thale cress)
Lineage: Eukaryota; Viridiplantae; Streptophyta; Magnoliopsida; Brassicales; Brassicaceae
Description: ATSL063040
Source: RNAcentral